Molecule: ribosomal RNA, 494 nt
Filed under: uncultured bacterium
Lineage: Bacteria
Description: partial 16S ribosomal RNA
Rfam family: Bacterial small subunit ribosomal RNA
Source: RNAcentral
GACGAACGCUGGCGGCGUGCUUAACACAUGCAAGUCGAGCGGUGAAACGCGUUCCUUUUUGGUGGGAGUGUAGGGGUGGCGGACUGGGGAAUAACACGAGAAUAACCUGCUCCCUCCGUCUGGAUAUCGGCAAGAAAGUGUGACUAAUACGGAAUAUUCUGAGUCUGUCGCUUGAUGGGUCUGGGAAGGAUAUUGUGUCGGUUGGGGAUGGGCUCGCGGCCUAUCAGCUUGUUGGUAGGGUGAUGGCCUACCAAGGCGGUGACGGGUAGCCGGCCUGAGAGGGUGGGCGGCAACACAGGUGCUGCGACAUGCACAAGACUCCUACGGGCGGCAGCAGUGGGGAAUACUGCACGAGCGGCGGAAGGCUGAUGCAGCGCCGCGGGGGGAGGGAUGGACGUCGUCGGGUUGUGAACCUCUUUCGCGAGUGAAGCAGGGCUGCCUCGUUUGUGCGUGGGUUGACGGUAGCUGGAUAAGAAGCCCCGGCUAACUACGUG